Molecule: small RNA, 188 nt
Filed under: Drosophila willistoni
Lineage: Eukaryota; Metazoa; Arthropoda; Insecta; Diptera; Drosophilidae
Description: GK28199
Source: RNAcentral
GAAAUCUUCAAAGCAAGUUUUAAUAGUGAACGAAUGCAGCUUUCAAUCAGGAAAAGGCAACCACAAAGUUCUCAACAAAGCAUUAAUGCGAAGCGUACUAAAUUUUAACUUGAACGAAUGCAGCUUUCAAUCAGGAAAAGGCAACCACAAAGUUCUCAACAAAGCAUUAAUGCGAAGCGUACUAAAUU